CAUUAUCGUACAACCGAGGUGCCAAGGGCUGUCGCUGAUCUUCCAGGGUCGUGCACGCCCGGGUGCUCUCGCUCAAUCCAUCUCACCCCUUUGUGCAUCACCGCGUGGGUCCCCCCUUUGCAGGGAGGGCUCGCGUUUUCACAUAAAACUUGAUACNGUCUAGAAUGUUUAUUUUUGCGGUUGCACGCAAUNAAUACAACUUUCAACAACGGAUCUCUUGGCUCUCGCAUCGAUGAAGAACGCAGCGAAAUGCGAUACGUAAUGUGAAUUGCAGAAUUCAGUGAAUCAUCGAAUCUUUGAACGCACCUUGCGCCCCUUGGCAUUCCGAGGGGCACACCCGUUUGAGUGUCGUGAAACCCUCAAAACCCCUUUUUCUUUCACCGGAAUGGGGGAUUUUGGACUUGGAGGUUCGAUGCUCGCUUUCGAAAGCGAAAGCGAGCUCCUCUUAAAUGAAUCAGUGGGGUCCGCUUUGCCGAUCCUUGACGUGAUAAGAUGUUUCUACGUUUUGNAUCUGGCACUGUUUUCUCUGCUUCUAACCGUCUCAUCGACAAAAGAUGGUGCUUCGGUCCCUGUCAUCUACGUUGGCGGGAGGCUGGACCCACAAAGAAAAACCUUGACCUCAAAUCGGGUGAGACUACCCGCUGAACUUAAGCAUAUCAAUAAGCGGAGGAAAAGAAACUAACAAGGAUUCCCCUAGUAACUGCGAGUGAAGCGGGAAAAGCUCAAAUUUAAAAUCUGGU
Molecule: ribosomal RNA, 740 nt
Filed under: uncultured fungus
Lineage: Eukaryota; Fungi
Description: eukaryotic LSU rRNA
Rfam family: 5.8S ribosomal RNA (bases 198-351)
Source: RNAcentral